UACGGAGGGUGCGAGCGUUACCCGGAUUUACUGGGCGUAAAGGGCGUGUAGGCGGAUUUCUAAGUCCGGGGCUAAAGACCAGGGCUCCACCCUGGGUUUGCCUUGGACACUGGAAAGCUCGACGGCUGGAGGGGGCAGCGGAAUUUCCGGAGUAGCGGUGACAUGCGCAGAAACCGGAAGGUACGCCAAUAGGGAAGGCAGCUGCCUGGACAGUACGUGACGCUGAGGCGCGAAAGCGUGGGGAGCAAACCGG
Molecule: ribosomal RNA, 253 nt
Filed under: uncultured bacterium
Lineage: Bacteria
Description: partial 16S ribosomal RNA
Rfam family: Bacterial small subunit ribosomal RNA
Source: RNAcentral